This 298-nucleotide long non-coding RNA is filed under the name Arabidopsis lyrata. Its description in RNAcentral is "long non-coding RNA (ALYR_LNC000081)". Lineage: Eukaryota; Viridiplantae; Streptophyta; Magnoliopsida; Brassicales; Brassicaceae. The record is from RNAcentral.
GAACAAAGCUUAGAACUCAAAAAUAUCAAAGAUAAUGUGUAAAGAGUCGAGCAUAGGGUUUUAAAACAAUAGGAAACGAGCCGGGUCGGAUCUGGAGUGAAUCGGGUCAAUUCUGGGCCAAAAGUACGUCUCGGGAAGGGAUCGAUCGAUCCGGUGGGUGGAUCGAUCGAUCCCGAGUCACUGGAAACUGCUUCUCGUCCGUCAGAGGAUGGGAUCGAUCGAUCCACAAGUGGAUCGAUCGAUCUGAAUCUUCUGGUCUCCAACUCCGCAACUGCUUCAAAUGCUCGGUAGAAUGACC